This 197-nucleotide ribosomal RNA is filed under the name uncultured bacterium. RNAcentral's name for it is "partial 16S ribosomal RNA". It matches the Rfam family "Bacterial small subunit ribosomal RNA", at positions 328 to 539 of the family's 1533-position model. The record is from RNAcentral.
ACGCUCGACACCUACGGGCGGCAGCAGUGGGGAAUAUUGCACAAUGGGGGAAACCCUGAUGCAGCGACGCCGCGUGAGUGAAGAAGUAUUUCGGUAUGUAAAGCUCUAUCAGCAGGGAAGAAAAUGACGGUACCUGACUAAGAAGCCCCGGCUAACUACGUGCCUGCAGCCGCGGUAAUCUGAGCGGCUGGCAAGGC